AUACGUCUUUUGUUAUUGUUCUCUCCUUUUUUCAUGGCUACCAAUAUCUGGGCUUUAUAUUAAUAUCAUUCAUAUCAAUUCUCUUUUUUAUUUGUUUCUUAAUUGAUGCGAAGCUCAAUAAACCACCAACUUUUCACAACUACAAAUAGGUGGAGCUUAUAUUUAUUUCAUUCAUAUGGCUUCUUGUCCUUGCAUGCUUCUUGAUUUAUGCUUCUUGUUUUCCAAAGAGCAGGUGUUCAUUCUUAAUUGGAGAGGGAUUCUUAUGCCUUCGGCUCUGAAAAAUAGUGGUGCAUUUUGUGGCUUUUGACCUUGCUAGUGGACUGGGGGAAACAAAGUGGGAUCUCCAGAAGAGGUUUUCCAAAGAGAAAAAUCGGAAGCAGCCACGUGGGCUGCUGUGUACUUCAAAGAGUCGAGUUUUUGUUUUUAGGGGAAAAACAGCAAUCUACAAAUCAGAGGACCAAAAAUCCAAAGAGGCUUAUUAUUAUUUUUAAAUGUUACUUCUCCCAACACAAAAAAAUAAAAAUUGUCGAUUGGAUUUCAUAAAUGUGUUUGCUUCUAUGCAUUUAAGCUAUAGAUCUAAUAUUGUUUAAAUAUCACUAAUGACUUGGAAAUCACCCAAAAGAUCAGCCAGUCAACUAGUUAGUGUGUGGAUGCCAUAUUGGACAGUUUUAUUUCAUAUUAGGUUUAAUUCCAUUGGAGCCGAGGAGAAUGGUGGUGGUUUUUGUGGGCAGUGUAUGGAGCUAAUACCUAGUAAUUAGAUAUUCUUAGUUUAAUCAUUGAACUUAAUAAAAUUUAUAUGGGCCUAUGCAUUUAUUUGUAUGUCUAAUAUCGUUAAAUAUCAUCACUGACUUGAAAGUAAGUACACCCAAAGGAUUGUGCUAAUAAACUAGUCAAUGUUGAAAUUGGCCAAGUUGAAUUUGUUAAUUGCAUGUGUUGAGAAAUUGUGCAAGAAAUCAGAAAGUCAGUGAGUAAUAACUAGGGUUGAGUGUUAAGAGAGAGGAGAGCAGAAGAGAAUGAGAAGAAAAAUGAAAGAGAAACCAUUAAAGAAGAGUAUUUUCUGAGGGUGAUGUUCAGGUACUCUGUGCUUUAGGGAGAGACUACAUCAACAGAAUGACUAGGGUUGAGUGUUAAGAGAGAGGAGAGCAGAAGAGAAUGAGAAAAAAAAUGAAAGAGAAACCAUUAAAGAAGAGUAUUUUCUGAGGGUGAUGUUCAGGUACUCUAUGCUUUAGGGAGAGACUAAGGGUUGGAAGAAAAUGAAUGAGUUAUUGUUGAUUGAAAGAAAAGAAAAGAAAAGAAAGAAAUAAAGAAAGAAGGAAAGAAAGAAAAAAAAAAUGAACGAUGGGAUAAAGAAGAGUGGGGGUCUUUUAAGGAGAGGUUUGAGUGAAAAGUGGUCUACAGAGGAGAGUGCGGUGUUCUUUCUUUUAUUUUUUCAAGAAUCUAUUUUCUACAACUCAAAACCUGUCGCUCAAAAACAAAACAAAAAAAAAAAAAAAAAGAAAAGAAAAAAAGAAAGAAAGAAA
Magnolia sinica is the source of this 1520-nucleotide long non-coding RNA. RefSeq lists it as uncharacterized. The transcript is spliced from 2 exons. Lineage: Eukaryota; Viridiplantae; Streptophyta; Magnoliopsida; Magnoliales; Magnoliaceae. The record is from RefSeq and is a predicted model, not a curated record.